UAGUGGGGAGGGACCACACCAUGAUAAACAACCAUUUUUCCAUAGAUUCUCCUCUCUCCUAAGUCAAUCAAGAUGGAGACGACGAAGGAGUGGUCCGAUCUUCCAAAGGAGCUAUGGCCGGCAAUCGGAAAUCGCCUCGACAACCGCCUCGACGUUCUCCGAUUUCGCAGCGUCUGCAAGACAUGGCGCUCCUCCGUCUCCCCUUUUCAGCAACCCGUUACCCCUCCUCUGCCCCUCAGCUUCUCUUCCCCUCCCGCCGCCGAGGAUGGCGGAGCUCUGCAGACUCAACCCAAAGCCCUACUCUUUCAAAUCAAAGUCUAUCGGAUGGAAUCGCUCGUCGGCGAAAAGCCCAAUUCGUCAAAACCGUGGGUGGUGAAGUUUGAGGAGUCGAGUUCCGGGGACCUGCGAUUGCUGCAUCCAAUCAGUAAUAAGCCACUCAGGUUUUUCCCUGCAUCUAACUCUUUAAAGGAAUUCAAUUUGUUGGACUUUAAGAUGGUCGAAUUGCGAAAAUCGUAUAGUCUGCAGUUUAGAAAUAGUCUCAAUGUUGUUACGGCUUGUGUGAACAAAGUGGUAGUCAUGGAUGCAAAAAAGUUGAAUGAUUGUGGUAUUUUUAUAAUUUGCAAUGGCGGAAAGUUGGGUUUCUUGAGAUUCGGGGAUGAGAAAUGGACCCAUGUGGAUGAACAAAACUCACACUACGAUGAUCUUAUUGUGUAUAAGGGUCAAUGCUAUGUUGUCGAUAGAUGGGGAACAAUUUCAUGGGUCAAUUCUGAUUUGAAUGUGAUCCAAUUUUCGCCUCCGUUAUGUGGGUUUGGCGGGCGGAAGCAUUUGGUUGAGUCUUGUGGCGAUCUCUUCGUUGUUGAUCGGUACCUUGACAAGUGUGAAAUGGAAAGGUUCCCAGAGCACAAUGUUGAGAAUGAAAAUGUUAGUGUUUUUGGCCCUAAUUUUCAAGCUCCUCCUCAUCGUUUCGCCGCUUCUGUUGACGGCGAGGCUGUUGAUUUUAAAGUUUAUAGGCUGGAUCAAGAAUGGGGUAGGUGGGUUGAUGUGAAGAACUUGGGAGAUCAAGUGUUUAUUUUGAGCAAUGAUGGGUCUUUCGCCUUCUCCACCAAAGACUUUGGUAGAGUGAAGGGAAAUUGCAUUUUAUUCACUGAUCAAAAGCUUCCUCAUUUACACGGAAUUGGGGGAUCAAAAAGGUGUAACACUCGCGUGUUCAUGCUAGAGAGUGGCAUCAUUCGGGACGGACAUGCUUUGUCCUGCUUUAACAAAAUGCUCCAUCCACCAUCCAGUUGGCUCCGCCCUGUUCUUGAUUUCCGUCGGCAUCGGCUUGCAGACUGAUUAAUUCUUUUUCCUAAAGAACAUUAUCAUUCACCUCAAAGGAUUGUAGGUUUCCAGCGAUGACAAACCCAUGAUUUAGUGCUCAUGUUAUGACAAUCUUAUGUAGACACCGAAUGGCUAUAUCGAAAAUGUAAACAAAUUGAUGUAGGAUAACGCACGUUUUAAAGAAAAAGGGAAGAAAUACAGGUUUUCUUCAAAACCUGAAAAAGUUCUAUCGCGAUUCAUGAGGGAUACUGCUGACAGCGAAUGAAGACACAUUUUCUGAAUCUCUCGGGGGCGGAAUAUCCAGUUUCUCUUGAGUGAUUUGUAGAAUCAUCUGAUCGAAACUAGUGUAAAAUCAUCAAUCUAGUUUAUCCGAUGUGUAAGCAUGCGGUUUAUCGAUGUUAUUAUGGAUGUAUAUAUGCAGAUUAUGCAAUCUGUUUCUUUGUUGAACUCAAAUCUUUACAUGUAAUUGGUAACGUAAUGCGUUUCUUGAA
Molecule: RNA transcript, 1808 nt
Organism: Pyrus x bretschneideri (Chinese white pear)
Lineage: Eukaryota; Viridiplantae; Streptophyta; Magnoliopsida; Rosales; Rosaceae
Gene name: putative F-box protein At1g65770
Exons: 3
Source: RefSeq, a predicted model, not a curated record